This 74-nucleotide transfer RNA is filed under the name Mycoplasmopsis gallopavonis. RNAcentral's name for it is "Mycoplasma gallopavonis tRNA-Trp". It matches the Rfam family "tRNA". From Rfam's summary of the family: Transfer RNA (tRNA) molecules are approximately 80 nucleotides in length. Their secondary structure includes four short double-helical elements and three loops (D, anti-codon, and T loops). The record is from RNAcentral. Lineage: Bacteria; Bacillati; Mycoplasmatota; Mycoplasmoidales; Metamycoplasmataceae. RNAcentral also lists the same sequence under 1 other name.
GGGGGUUUAGUAUAAUGGCAAUAUAGUGGUCUCCAAAACCAAUGAUAAGGGUUCGAUUCCUUUAACCCCCGCCA